Molecule: ribosomal RNA, 253 nt
Filed under: uncultured bacterium
Lineage: Bacteria
Description: partial 16S ribosomal RNA
Rfam family: Bacterial small subunit ribosomal RNA
Source: RNAcentral
UACGGAGGGAGCUAGCGUUAUUCGGAAUUACUGGGCGUAAAGCGCACGUAGGCGGCUUUGUAAGUAAGAGGUGAAAGCCCAGAGCUCAACUCUGGAAUUGCCUUUAGACUGCAUCGCUUGAAUCAUGGAGAGGUCAGUGGAAUUACCGAGUGUAGAGGUGAAAUUCGUAGAUAUUCGGAAGAACACCAGUGGCGAAGGCGGCUGACUGGACAUGUAUUGACGCUGAGGUGCGAAAGCGUGGGGAGCAAACAGG